CGCUAGCUACAGGCUUAACACAUGCAAGUCGAGGGGCAGCAUGGUCUUAGCUUGCUAAGGCCGAUGGCGACCGGCGCACGGGUGAGUAACGCGUAUCCAACCUGCCUUACACUCUUGGACAGCCUUCUGAAAGGGAGAUUAAUACAAGAUGUUAUCAUGAGUAAGCAUUUUCGCAUGAUUAAAGGUUUACCGGUGUAAGAUGGGGAUGCGUUCCAUUAGAUAGUAGGCGGGGUAACGGCCCACCUAGUCUUCGAUGGAUAGGGGUUCUGAGAGGAAGGUCCCCCACAUUGGAACUGAGACACGGUCCAAACUCCUACGGGAGGCAGCAGUGAGGAAUAUUGGUCAAUGGACGAGAGUCUGAACCAGCCAAGUAGCGUGAAGGAUGAAGGUUCUAUGGAUUGUAAACUUCUUUUAUACGGGAAUAAACGAAUCCACGUGUGGAUUUUUGCAUGUACCGUAUGAAUAAGGAUCGGCUAACUCCGUGCCAGCAGCCGCGGUAAUACGGAGGAUCCGAGCGUUAUCCGGAUUUAUUGGGUUUAAAGGGAGCGUAGAUGGGUUGUUAAGUCAGUUGUGAAAGUUUGCGGCUCAACCGUAAAAUUGCAAUUGAUACUGGCAGUCUUGAGUACAGUUGAGGUAGGCGGAAUUCGUGGUGUAGCGGUGAAAUGCUUAGAUAUCACGAAGAACUCCGAUUGCGAAGGCAGCUUACUAACCUGUAACUGACAUUGAUGCUCGAAAGUGUGGGUAUCAAACAGGAUUAGAUACCCUGGUAGUCCACACGGUAAACGAUGAAUACUCGCUGUAGGCGAUAUACAGUCUGCGGCCAAGCGAAAGCAUUAAGUAUUCCACCUGGGGAGUACGCCGGCAACGGUGAAACUCAAAGGAAUUGACGGGGGCCCGCACAAGCGGAGGAACAUGUGGUUUAAUUCGAUGAUACGCGAGGAACCUUACCCGGGCCUAAAUUGCAACCGAAUAUGGCGGAAACGCUAUAGCUAGCAAUAGCGGUUGUGAAGGUGCUGCAUGGUUGUCGUCAGCUCGUGCCGUGAGGUGUCGGCUUAAGUGCCAUAACGAGCGCAACCCUUGCCGAUAGUUACUAACAGGUCAUGCUGAGGACUCUGUCGGGACUGCCAUCGUAAGAUGUGAGGAAGGUGGGGAUGACGUCAAAUCAGCACGGCCCUUACGUCCGGGGCUACACACGUGUUACAAUGGGGGGUACAGAGGGCUGCUACCACGCAAGUGGAUGCCAAUCCCAAAAACCUCUCUCAGUUCGGAUUGAAGUCUGCAACCCGACUUCAUGAAGCUGGAUUCGCUAGUAAUCGCGCAUCAGCCACGGCGCGGUGAAUACGUUCCCGGGCCUUGUACACACCGCCCGUCAAGCCAUGGGAGCCGGGGGUACCUGAAGUGCGUAACCGCAAGGAGCGCCCUAGGGUAAAACUGGUGACUGGGGC
Molecule: ribosomal RNA, 1445 nt
Filed under: uncultured organism
Description: 16S ribosomal RNA
Rfam family: Bacterial small subunit ribosomal RNA
Source: RNAcentral